RNAcentral lists this transfer RNA (64 nucleotides) under Emplectonema gracile. Its description in RNAcentral is "tRNA-Met". Lineage: Eukaryota; Metazoa; Nemertea; Enopla; Monostilifera; Emplectonematidae. The record is from RNAcentral.
UGAUAAAAUAAGCUAAAUUUAAGCUGUUGGGUUCAUACCUCAAAAAUGAGUAUUCUCUUUUAUU